This 274-nucleotide unclassified non-coding RNA is filed under the name Hevea brasiliensis (rubber tree). The record is from RNAcentral. Lineage: Eukaryota; Viridiplantae; Streptophyta; Magnoliopsida; Malpighiales; Euphorbiaceae.
CAAAUGGAUGAUUUCGUAUGUAAAUAAGGGCCUCAAAAAGAAAAGGGCACCGAGACGGUGAUCCCCUUAAUAGAUAUCUACUCGAAUUAGUUCUAGUGACUCAUCUUCCACAUCCAGAUGAUCGCUCUACCUAUUACGAAAGUACAACUAGUGCUUCUAUGAUAAGCUUUGAUUUGACCGAAGAUGCGAAAAUGAUAGGGCAGAGCGGAAGGGCACCCCCAGAACGUAAAAUACUACAAUCCUCUAAAAGAAAAGGCCAUACAGUCAUCCGGAG